AGCGAACGCUGGCGGCAGGCCUAACACAUGCAAGUCGAGCGAACCUUUCGGGGUUAGUGGCGGACGGGUGAGUAACACGUGGGAACGUGCCUUUAGGUUCGGAAUAACUCAGGGAAACUUGUGCUAAUACCGAAUGUGCCCUUCGGGGGAAAGAUUAAUCGCCUUUAGAGCGGCCCGCGUCUGAUUAGCUAGUUGGUUGAGGUAAUGGCUCACCAAGGCGACGAUCAGUAGCUGGUCUGAGAGGAUGAUCAGCCACAUUGGGACUGAGACACGGCCCAAACUCCUACGGGAGGCAGCAGUGGGGAAUCUUGCGCAAUGGGCGAAAGCCUGACGCAGCCAUGCCGCGUGAAUGAUGAAGGUCUUAGGAUUGUAAAAUUCUUUCACCGGGGACGAUAAUGACGGUACCCGGAGAAGAAGCCCCGGCUAACUUCGUG
Molecule: ribosomal RNA, 434 nt
Filed under: uncultured bacterium
Lineage: Bacteria
Description: partial 16S ribosomal RNA
Rfam family: Bacterial small subunit ribosomal RNA
Source: RNAcentral